This 200-nucleotide long non-coding RNA is filed under the name Elaeis guineensis (African oil palm). RNAcentral describes it as "long non-coding RNA (EGUI_LNC052146)". The record is from RNAcentral. Lineage: Eukaryota; Viridiplantae; Streptophyta; Magnoliopsida; Arecales; Arecaceae.
UGCAUCAUAAUUUUUGACGCCAUAUUUCCUCAUACACAAAUAGUUUUUAUGUGAGAUUUUUUUACACCAAAGUGUUCUUUUCCUUCUCUAUCUCACAUCCAAAUUUGGGUAGGAUAUAAUUUCAUAUAGUAUGUUCAAAUCUGAUUUGAAAUAGGAUACCAUGUGGAUAAUGUUUGACAUUAUCUCUUAACCCUUGCCGC